RNAcentral lists this unclassified non-coding RNA (318 nucleotides) under plant metagenome. RNAcentral describes it as "partial contains 5.8S ribosomal RNA, internal transcribed spacer 2, and large subunit ribosomal RNA". The stretch from base 1 to 105 matches the Rfam family "5.8S ribosomal RNA", at positions 50 to 154 of the family's 154-position model. The record is from RNAcentral.
GAAAUGCGAUAAGUAAUGUGAAUUGCAGAAUUCAGUGAAUCAUCGAAUCUUUGAACGCACAUUGCGCCCGCCAGAAUUCUGGCGGGCAUGCCUGUUCGAGCGUCAUUUCAACCCUCGAGCUCCCCUUUCGGGGGGAGCCCGGCGUUGGGGACCCGGCGCUAACAACGCCGGACCCGAAAUGGAGUGGCGGCCCGUCCGCGGUGACCUCUGCGUAGUAACAACCACUCGCACCGGGACCCGGGCGCGGCCACGCCGUAAAACACCCCACCUUCCGAAUGUUGACCUCGAAUCAGGUAGGAAUACCCGCUGAACUUAAGC